RNAcentral lists this ribosomal RNA (506 nucleotides) under Lachnospiraceae bacterium. Its description in RNAcentral is "bacterial SSU rRNA". It matches the Rfam family "Bacterial small subunit ribosomal RNA", at positions 1036 to 1533 of the family's 1533-position model. Lineage: Bacteria; Bacillati; Bacillota; Clostridia; Lachnospirales; Lachnospiraceae. The record is from RNAcentral.
AGGUGGUGCAUGGUUGUCGUCAGCUCGUGUCGUGAGAUGUUGGGUUAAGUCCCGCAACGAGCGCAACCCUUAUCUUCAGUAGCCAGCAGGUAAAGCUGGGGACUCUGGAGAGACUGCCGGGGAUAACCCGGAGGAAGGCAGGGAUGACGUCAAAUCAUCAUGCCCCUUAUGUCCAGGGCUACACACGUGCUACAAUGGCGUAAACAAAGGGAAGCGAAGGGGUGACCCGGAGCGAAUCCCAAAAAUAACGUCUCAGUUCGGAUUGUAGUCUGCAACUCGACUACAUGAAGCCGGAAUCGCUAGUAAUCGCGGAUCAGAAUGCCGCGGUGAAUACGUUCCCGGGUCUUGUACACACCGCCCGUCACACCAUGGGAGUUGUUAACGCCCGAAGCCGGUGGCCGAACCUGAAAAGGAGGGAGCCGUCGAAGGCGGGAACAAUAACUGGGGUGAAGUCGUAACAAGGUAGCCGUAUCGGAAGGUGCGGCUGGAUCACCUCCUUUCUAAGG